AUGGCUGUCGUCAGCUCGUGUCGUGAGAUGUUGGGUUAAGUCCCGCAACGAGCGCAACCCCUAUUUUUAGUUGCUACCAUUUAGUUGGGCACUCUAAAAAAACUGCCAGUGAUAAGCUGGAGGAAGGCGGGGAUGACGUCAAGUCCUCAUGGCCCUUACGUGUUGGGCUACACACGUGCUACAAUGGUACCUACAGUGAGAAGCAAAGAGGCGACUCUAAGCCAAUCCCAAAAAGGUACCUCAGUUCGGAUUGUACUCUGCAACUCGAGUACAUGAAGCUGGAAUUACUAGUAAUCGCGGAUCAGCGCGCCGCGGUGAAUACGUUCCCGGGUCUUGUACACACCGCCCGUCACACCAUGGAAGUUGGUUACACCUUAAGGCAAAGCAUAAAACCUUUGACUACGGUACGAUCAGCGACUGGGGUGAAGUCGUAACAAGGUAGCCGUAGGGGAACCUGCGGCUGGAUCACCUCCUUUCUAAGGAAAUCGAAAAAUAUUAAAACAAUUAUUUUCGAUUUAAAAAAAACCGGUAAUGUGACCGUCCUCAUUUCUCUUCUUUUAAUGUCUCUGAGUAAAAAUAAAUGUAAGGGGCCGGUAGCUCAGGUGGUUAGAGCGCACCCCUGAUAAGGGUGAGGUCGGAAGUUCGAAUCUUCCUCGGCCCACCAAUAUUACGGGGGAUUAGCUCAGCUGGGAGAGCGCCUGAUUUGCAUUCAGGAGGCCAGCGGUUCGAUCCCGCUAUCCUCCACCAAAAAUUGAGACAUUUAGCUUUUUUAAAUUGUGAAUAUUAUUAUCAAUAUCUAUAUCCGAUUGUUUUCAUAUUUUUUUGAAAACAAUCAAAACAAAAAUUUAAUUUAUUACAGAAAAGUUUUUUUCUGUGCAUAAAUCAAGCGUUUAAGGGCGAUUGGCGGAUGCCUUGGCACUGUAAGACGAUGAAGGACGUGGUAUACUGCGAUAAGUUUCGGGGAGCUGUAUGCGAGCUUUGAUCCGAAAAUUUCCGAAUGGGGAAACCCGG
Molecule: small RNA, 1011 nt
Filed under: uncultured bacterium
Lineage: Bacteria
Description: bacterial SSU rRNA
Rfam family: Bacterial small subunit ribosomal RNA (bases 1-476)
Source: RNAcentral